RNAcentral lists this ribosomal RNA (639 nucleotides) under Triticum aestivum (bread wheat). Its description in RNAcentral is "partial small subunit ribosomal RNA". Lineage: Eukaryota; Viridiplantae; Streptophyta; Magnoliopsida; Poales; Poaceae. The record is from RNAcentral.
AUGUUUGACUUCCUCAUGGGGUCCAGACUCGAGCGGUUCCUCAAGAAGCUCGCCCAGAGCGAGGCCGGCGGCUUCAGCGCCGUCCGCCCCUGUGACAACCCGCCGGAUUGCAAGGCCGCCAUCAAGAUCAUGCCCACCGUCUUCGUCACCACCUGCGCUGAUUCCCACUUCUUAGUUUGCAAGGAGGCCUUCGAGCUGGGCGACUAGGCCAAGGAGAUGCCCCACAGCCACAUGUACCACUAGGACUGCAUCCUGCCGUGGCUCGUGCUGCGUAACUCGUGUCUCGUGUGCCGGCACAAGCUGCCCACAGAUGUGGGCAGCAACAUCGGGGCUGAGGCUGGCAGUGAGGAGGAGACGAUGGUUGGGUUUACGAUUUGGUGGCUCCCUGGUGGAGGCUUUGAUGUUAGGAGGUUCGCUGGUGGCAGGAGGGCCGAUGAGAGGGAUCUCCCAGUUGUCUACACUGAGGUGGAUGGGGGUUUCAACAAUGGUGAUGCACUGAGGAAGAUCUCAUGGUCAUCGAGAGGGAGCCGUUCGUCACAGAGAGGAGUUAGCAGAUGCAUGUUCGACAACAUGUUUGCUUGCUUUGGACACACCCAUCCUCGAGGUUGGAGUGGAGCUCAGUUUUCACCCGUGGACUGA